GAUGGGGUGUCUCUUGUGCUAACAUUUCUGGGCUCGUACCUGUGCCAGGCACCAGGGUGGAGGCUGGAGAGUGUGGUGUGAGCAGGCCGGCCCGGCCUGGCCUUCCCCAGUUGUCAGACCUGUGGGCAGCACACGGGUCAGUGGGCUCCGACCCUGGAAGGGGUGCAGGCAGAAGACACCAGUCCUGCGGCUUCCCCAGCCCAUCGGCAGAGGCCUUUGGCGUCUCCUAGCUCCUGGUCGUGCCUGCUCUGUCUCCACCUGUAGGAGCGAGGCCUGAACUGUCUGCCCCUCCCAGCUCCUGGGCAGAGUCUCGUGGUCAUUAGGGCUGAGGCGGAAGGGUGCUGGCACAGGGCCGCGAGCUGCCAGGGCUGUGGCCCAGGGUGAGAGCUGACGUCUGUUUGGGAGCAUCUCUCCCUGCCAAGGGUUGAGAUCCCUCCGGGGCCACAUGCCUUCCCUCUGACACAGGAGCUGGCAUCUGACCCUCCUGGAGCCUGGACCCCAGCCUCACCCCGGAGUGGUGCGGUGACAGCUGCGGCAUCGUAGUGACCUCAAGGCCCACACGUGCCCCCUCCAGAUGAGCCUGCCACCUCCCAGGCCCCCUCACGCAGCCAGGGAAGGCCCCACACAAGGGGCCCAGACCCCAGGCCUCGGCUUCCAGAAAGGCCUGCUGAGGGCAUUCCAGUGCCUUCUUGGAGAGCUUGGACACAGAGGACUGGGCCUUGCUGGGCCUGAGAAAGCUCAAGUGGACCAGUGACUGGGCCUGACUUCAGCCCUGGGACCCGGAAGGAGGAUCCUGGGCCAGCUGCCGUGGUGGUGGCCGUCGAACACCCUGCCACCGGGGCCAGGCCGCACGCCAGCAAGAAUGGGGUGAGUGCGUCCAUGGACCAGAGGCAGUGGGCAGAGGGCCUGUGUGAGCCACCACAGCGGGGCCCCCAGGAGGGCCCAGGGGCUUGGCAGGAAGAGGCUGGGGUGGACCCCUAGGUCCCCUCGGGCAAAGGAAGGGGUCAUGAAGCACCCAAGAGAAUGCACCUCCUGGGUGGAGGAAACUGCGGGGGGUGGGCAGCAGGGCGUCUCCAGGGAGCUGGAAGAUGCCCAUCUGAGUCCCCUGUAGCCAUCCACCCCCCCUGGUCUCCAACUGUCAUGGGACUGGAC
RNAcentral lists this long non-coding RNA (1152 nucleotides) under Camelus dromedarius (Arabian camel). RNAcentral describes it as "lncRNA (ENSCDRG00005018279.1)". The record is from RNAcentral. Lineage: Eukaryota; Metazoa; Chordata; Mammalia; Artiodactyla; Camelidae.